AUACGUAGGGGGCGAGCGUUGUCCGGAAUUACUGGGCGUAAAGGGUGCGUAGGCGGCCUUUCAAGUCAGAUGUGAAAUACCACGGCUCAACUGUGGGGGUGCAUAUGAAACUGGGAGGCUUGAGUGCAGGAGAGGGAAGUGGAAUUCCUAGUGUAGCGGUGAAAUGCGUAGAGAUUAGGAGGAACACCAGUGGCGAAGGCGACUUUCUGGACUGUAACUGACGCUGAGGCACGAAAGCGUGGGGAGCGAACAGGAUUAGAUACCCUGGUAGUCCACGCCGUAAACGAUGGAUACUAGGUGUAGGGGGUAUCGACCCCCCCUGUGCCGGAGUUAACGCAAUAAGUAUCCCGCCUGGGGAGUACGGCCGCAAGGUUGAA
Molecule: ribosomal RNA, 377 nt
Filed under: uncultured bacterium
Lineage: Bacteria
Description: bacterial SSU rRNA
Rfam family: Bacterial small subunit ribosomal RNA
Source: RNAcentral